Molecule: ribosomal RNA, 258 nt
Filed under: uncultured bacterium
Lineage: Bacteria
Description: partial 16S ribosomal RNA
Rfam family: Bacterial small subunit ribosomal RNA
Source: RNAcentral
GACGAACCGUGCGAACGUUAUUCGGAAUCACUGGGCUUAAAGCGCGUGUAGGCGGGUCGGCGCGUCGGACGCUGAAAUCCCCCGGCUCAACCGGGGAAGGGGCGCCGAUACGGCCGGCCUGGAGGGACGUAGGGGGGGCGUGGAACUUCCGGUGGAGCGGUGAAAUGCGUUGAGAUCGGAAGGAACGCCCGGUGGCGAAAGCGAGCCCCUGGACGUCUACUGACGCUGACGACGCGGAAAGCCAGGGGAGCGAACGGG